Long non-coding RNA from Amblyraja radiata (thorny skate), 188 nucleotides. RefSeq lists it as uncharacterized. NCBI's taxonomy places the organism in Eukaryota, Metazoa, Chordata, Chondrichthyes, Rajiformes, Rajidae. The record is from RefSeq and is a predicted model, not a curated record. The transcript is spliced from 2 exons.
AUCAGGGAUCCAGCGAAUGGAGCAGCAACAGAAACAGAAGAUUUCUGGAGUUCUGGAACAGUCACACAACAUUCAGUCUAAGAUUACAUCCCAGUAUGCUGAACUGCACCAGAUUCUCACUGAGAAAGAGCAGCACACACUGGCAGAUAUCCGGGAGGAAGAGAGGAAGAUUCUAAAUACAAUGGAGA